This 494-nucleotide ribosomal RNA is filed under the name uncultured bacterium. RNAcentral's name for it is "partial 16S ribosomal RNA". It matches the Rfam family "Bacterial small subunit ribosomal RNA", at positions 28 to 507 of the family's 1533-position model. The record is from RNAcentral.
GACGAACGCUGGCGGCGCGCUUAACACAUGCAAGUCGAACGGAAAGGCCUGCUUUCCCUUGUGGAUUGCGGGUACUCGAGUGGCGAACGGGUGAGUAACACGUGAGUGAUCUGCCCCCAACUUGGGUAUAAGCCUGGGAAACUGGGUCUAAUUCCCGAUAGGACUGCAGGGUGGUGCCUGUGGUGGAAAACGAUUUUCUAGUGGUUGGGGAUGAGCUCGCGGCCUAUCAGCUUGUUGGUGGGGUAAUAGCCUACCAAGGCGGCGACGGGUAGCCGGCCUGAGAGGGUGGACGGCCACAUUGGGACUGAGAUACGGCCCAGACUCCUACGGGAGGCAGCAGUGGGGAAUAUUGCACAAUGGGCGGAAGCCUGAUGCAGCGACGCCGCGUGGGGGAUGACGGCCUUCGGGUUGUAAACUCCUUUCGACCGCGAGGAAGCCACCUGGUUGGAAGGGUGGUGACGGUAGUGGUAGAAGAAGCACCGGCUAACUACGUG